AUAGAAGAAAUAAAAAAGAACAAGAGCUAUUUAGAAAAAGGAGAAAAACCUAGAUGUAUGUAUAUAUAUAUAUGCAUGUGCAUGUCUGUGAAGUGUGACCAAAGUGUAAGUAGGAGUAGCAAGAUAUCCCUGUUAUCUUAGCGUGUUUAUGAGACAGAAAAAGAAACCAGCAAUCCUACCAUCAUGCAAAACAGUUACAGGUUUUUGUUUCACAGUCAUCUGGCAGGACGGUAGUACUUCCCUGGGUGGUUGCUGUCUACCAACCUACUACCUAUACCAACCUACUACUACUGUAUAUUAAAAAAAUGUCAUCUGUUAGAAUGGUCUCAGUCUUAGAGUUUACUGCUGCAAUGAUUUAGUAUUUUUUGUAAAAAUAGUAUUUGUGACAAAGAAUGUUGUCAGUCACCUUGAAAUAUUAAAUGCUGGUAGUGCGUCCUGCUGCCACACCAAUCAUUGCAUGUCAAUUUUAUAUCUCAGCAAUUAAAAUGUAUAAAUAUACAUUUUCUUAUGCCAGUAGGACAUUUUUCUAAAAGUCAGUAUGUAGGCUGGUAGACAGCAACCAUCCAGAGAGGUAUUACUGGUAUUAGGUUGGUAGACAGCAACCAUCCAAACAGGUAUUACUGCUAUUAGGUUGGUAGACAGCAACCAUCCAAAGAGGUAUUACUGCUAUUAGGUUGGUAGACAGCAACCAUCCAGAGAGGUAUUACUGGUAUUAGGUUGGUAGACAGCAACCAUCCAGAGAAGUAUUACUGCUAUUAGGUUGGUAGACAGCAACCAUCCACAGAGGUAUUAAAUGGUAUUAGGUUGGUAGACAGCAACCAUCCAGAGAAGUAUUACUGCUAUUAGGUUGGUAGACAGCAACCAUCCACAGAGGUAUUACUGGUAUUAGGUUGGUAGACAGCAACCAUCCAGAGAAGUAUUACUGCUAUUAGGUUGGUAGACAGCAACCAUCCACAGAGGUAUUACUGCUAUUAGGUUGGUAGACAGCAACCAUCCAGAGAGGUCUUACACAGCUUGGUAUAAAAACUUCCCAGAGAGGAACAAAAAUGCUUCCAAUGGAUGAAUAAGAUAUUAGACUAUAUCUUGGGAGAGAAAAGAGGAAUUUACAGGCAUAUCAAAACAGACUAUGUUCCUAUUAAGAGAAAAAAUGAGGGAGGUGAAAUUAAACCUGUGGGAGAAUCCAGAACAAAUAGAUCUGAAGAACUGACAGAUGAGUAGGUAAUGUGUACAAUAUAUAGUACUAACACCCAGUACAGAACUGUAACUUUCAAACCUUGUUCUGACCCUCGAAAACUAUGGUAGUGUUAUACAUGAAAGAAUAAGGAUUUAUUGGUAAAAGAGUCAGGGGUCGGCUUGUACACCAAGUCAUGCUAUGCUGCAGCAUAUUAAAAAUGCAUGGAUCUGAAAUUAUAUAUUUCAAGAGUUUUAUCAAAUAUGUAUUUUCUUAAUGUAAAUGUAAGGUGUCAAGAGAAAAAUUAUGAUAAAGAAUACUGAUAUUAAAGUAUUCACUUAUGUAGUUUGCAGUAAUAAAGUAUUGUUAAGCACAAAAGAAAGCCAUUUGCUAGGUUGGGUGCAUUGGCUUAAGCCGGUAGGAGACUUGGACCUGCCUCACAUGGGCCAGUAGGCCUGCUGCAGUGUUGAUAUAUUGGUUACAUUUGAGGCAAGUAUUGCAAAGCAUACAUCAUGGCCGUGCCUUAUAGCACUUCACAACCGAGCUGUCACUGUGUCAGCCUCUCUACCUACAUGUAUCUGCAUUUAUGACUGUCUUCUCUCAAACAAAAUGAUUUAUAUUGUUCUGAAAUUUACUCAUGUCUUUCUUUCCUCAAAAAACAACCUUGUGACUGUUGUAAAUAAUGUACCACCAUUGUAGACUCUGCUAUGAACUGGCAUUUUAUAAACUAAUUUGAAA
Non-coding RNA from Cherax quadricarinatus, 1909 nucleotides. The record is from RefSeq and is a predicted model, not a curated record. NCBI's taxonomy places the organism in Eukaryota, Metazoa, Arthropoda, Malacostraca, Decapoda, Parastacidae.